This 90-nucleotide ribosomal RNA is filed under the name Spruceanthus floreus. Its description in RNAcentral is "Mastigolejeunea florea 5.8 ribosomal RNA". It matches the Rfam family "5.8S ribosomal RNA", at positions 64 to 154 of the family's 154-position model. From Rfam's summary of the family: 5.8S ribosomal RNA (5.8S rRNA) is a component of the large subunit of the eukaryotic ribosome. It is transcribed by RNA polymerase I as part of the 45S precursor that also contains 18S and 28S rRNA. The record is from RNAcentral. Lineage: Eukaryota; Viridiplantae; Streptophyta; Jungermanniopsida; Porellales; Lejeuneaceae.
AAUGACUUGCAGAAUUCCGCGAAUCAUCGAGUUUUUGAACGCAAGUUGCGCCCGAGGCUCGUCCCGAGGGCAUGCCCGCCUGAGCGUCCG